RNAcentral lists this ribosomal RNA (386 nucleotides) under uncultured soil bacterium. RNAcentral's name for it is "bacterial SSU rRNA". It matches the Rfam family "Bacterial small subunit ribosomal RNA", at positions 26 to 391 of the family's 1533-position model. The record is from RNAcentral.
AGGACGAACGCUGGCGGCGUGCUUAACACAUGCAAGUGGAGCGACGAACCAGGGCUUGCCCUGGGGCAGAGCCGCGAACGGGUGAGUAACACGUGGGUAACGUACCCCGAUGACUGGGACAACCCGGGGAAACCCGGGCUAAUACCAGAUGUCGCCCCCUCACAUCAGUGAGGUGUAGUAAAGGAGUCUUCGGCCUCCGCAGUCGGGAUCGGCCUGCCGGCCCUAUUAGCUUGUUGGUGAGGUAACGCUCACCAAGGCUGCGAUGGGUAGCUGGUCUGAGAGGACGAUCGAGCCACACUGGGACUGAGACCACGGCCCAGACCUCCGUACGGGAGCAGCGAGGUAGGGAAUCGUUGCGACAAGUCGCGACGAAAGCGUAGACGCAG